GAUGAAGAACGUAGCGAAAUGCGAUAAGUAAUGUGAAUUGCAGAAUUCAGUGAAUCAUCGAAUCUUUGAACGCACAUUGCGCCCGCCAGUAUUCUGGCGGGCAUGCCUGUUCGAGCGUCAUUACCACCCUCAGGCCCCCGGGCCUGGCGUUGGGGAUCGGCGGAGCCCCCCGUGGGCACACGCCGUCCCCCAAAUGCAGUGGCGGUCCCGCCGCAGCUUCCAUCGCGUAGUAGCUAACACCUCGCGACUGGAGAGCGGCGCGGCCACGCCGUAAAACACCCAACUCUUCUGAAGUUGACCUCGAAUCAGGUAGGAAUACCCGCUGAACUUAAGCAUAUCAAUAAGCGGAGGA
Molecule: unclassified non-coding RNA, 352 nt
Filed under: soil metagenome
Description: partial contains 5.8S ribosomal RNA, internal transcribed spacer 2, and large subunit ribosomal RNA
Rfam family: 5.8S ribosomal RNA (bases 1-120)
Source: RNAcentral